AUACGGAGGAUCCGAGCGUUAUCCGGAUUUAUUGGGUUUAAAGGGUGCGCAGGCGGGAGAUUAAGUCGGCGGUGAAAUUUUGCAGCUCAACUUUAAAAAUGACUUCGAAACUGGGUUCCUUGAGUGUAGAUUAAGUAGGCGGAAUUUGUGGUGUAGCCGGGAAAUGCAUAGAUAUCACGAGGAACCACGAUUGAGUAUGCAGCUGACCCGACCGCAAAUGACGCUCAAGCACGAAAGUACGGGGAUUGAACAGGAUUAAAUGCCCUGGUAGUCCGCACAGUAAACGAUGAAUACUUGAUUUCGGCGAUAUAAUGUCGGAGGCAAAGCGAAAACGAUAAGUAUUCCACCUGGGGAGUACGCCGGCAACGGUGAAACUUAAAGGAAUUGACGGGG
Molecule: ribosomal RNA, 393 nt
Filed under: uncultured bacterium
Lineage: Bacteria
Description: partial 16S ribosomal RNA
Rfam family: Bacterial small subunit ribosomal RNA
Source: RNAcentral